GCCAGGUAAGUCCCCCGACCGCGAUCUGCACGGGGUAGCCGCUGGCCACGUGUGUCAGCCGAUUUGAAAUCGGCUGACACACGUUAAAAAACUGAUCGCAGUGACAGCCUGUCACUGCGAUCAGUGACUGCAGAUCGCGGUCACCGGCCACAGGGGGGGUUGCCUGGGGGGCCGGGCAUCCCCCCCGACCGCGAUCUGCAGCGGGCGAAUAGCGCCGGCCACAUGGGCGGCCAUUAAAGUGAGGGCGUACUAUUACGCCCGCCGGCGUUUAGAGCUGGCUCCUGCAGGGCGUAAUAGUACGCCC
Molecule: non-coding RNA, 304 nt
Organism: Pelobates cultripes (western spadefoot toad)
Lineage: Eukaryota; Metazoa; Chordata; Amphibia; Anura; Pelobatidae
Source: the annotation of a GenBank genome assembly